GAUGAAGAACGUAGCGAAAUGCGAUAAGUAGUGUGAAUUGCAGAAUUCAGUGAAUCAUCGAAUCUUUGAACGCACAUUGCGCCCUUUGGUAUUCCAAAGGGCAUGCCUGUUCGAGCGUCAUUUGUACCCUCAAGCUUUGCUUGGUGUUGGGCGUCUUGUUUCUAGCUUUGCUGGAGACUCGCCUUAAAGUAAUUGUCAGCCGGCCUACUGGUUUCGGAGCGCAGCACAAGUCGCACUCUCUAUCAGCAAAGGUCUAGCAUCCAUUAAGCCUUUUUUUCAACUUUUGACCUCGGAUCAGGUAGGGAUACCCGCUGAACUUAAGCAUAUCAAUAAGCGGAGGA
RNAcentral lists this unclassified non-coding RNA (341 nucleotides) under soil metagenome. RNAcentral's name for it is "partial contains 5.8S ribosomal RNA, internal transcribed spacer 2, and large subunit ribosomal RNA". The stretch from base 1 to 120 matches the Rfam family "5.8S ribosomal RNA", at positions 35 to 154 of the family's 154-position model. The record is from RNAcentral.